UAAAUUGGAGGCUGAAAAGAGCGAAAAGGGUAAAACAAGCAAAAUGGCAUUUUUGUAGAUUUUUCUGAAAUCUGGCACCGCCUCUAGUUCGGCGACAAUGAAGCAAGGGGCAGAAAGGCAGUAGCUAACCUAAGCAAGCAGUGUCCCCUCGCCCAUCUAAGUGCUGUGGCACCCGUAUCAGCAAGCCCAACGUUGCAGUGCUGCAAACUUUUAAGCCCGUCAGAGGCGCGUACACGCGUUUUCCCCGUUCCAAUCGACGACUUAAGUGGCUUUUUUAAGCCAUUUUCUUCUGGUAGCGACCAAGGGCCAAACAUUGGUUGAACUCUCGUCAUCAAUUGUAGAUCUCCAUUAUUUUUUGUAUGUAUAUAAUCAUCUUUUGUAUUGCAUCUUGGAGAGAUUAAAUGUAGAAAGAGAGCGCUAAGGACUCGUGUUUAAGAAAUCCUUCAUUGGACUGUAAUCUUUUGUAUGUGAUAUUUAGUUUGAAUCUUAACCCUACUUGAAACUCUGAAAUUGUCUGGA
Molecule: long non-coding RNA, 519 nt
Organism: Cucumis melo (muskmelon)
Lineage: Eukaryota; Viridiplantae; Streptophyta; Magnoliopsida; Cucurbitales; Cucurbitaceae
Exons: 2
Source: RefSeq, a predicted model, not a curated record